This 243-nucleotide long non-coding RNA is filed under the name Setaria viridis. RNAcentral's name for it is "long non-coding RNA (SVIR_LNC009419)". The record is from RNAcentral. Lineage: Eukaryota; Viridiplantae; Streptophyta; Magnoliopsida; Poales; Poaceae.
AUCAAUAGGAACUUCUAAGUUGAAGCACUGGGUGAUAGUAUUGGAUCCUUCCUCUUCUUCUCGGCCUGAAGGGCCAUUAUGCAAUUUUGCUGUGAUAUAGCCAGAUUUACCAGCUCAUUGUACGUGUCUACCUUGAUGGGGUUCAACCUCUCCUUGAGCUUAGGAUUCAGGCCCCUAUGGAAACGGUCCCACUUCUUCUGGUCCGAAUCUGCAUGAUAGCCCACAUAACGGCACAGUUCAUUG